ACUAUUAUCAUCCCAUUUCACAGUUGCGGAAGCAUCAGAAAGGUGAAGCCACCCGCCUAAGACCGAAGAGCUAGAAGCAAAAGAGCCAAAUUUCAAAACUGCAAAGUGUUCCUGACCUCUGGGCUGUCCUGCUUCCUGGAAAUUGCUUGGGCAGUGCGCUCCAUCUUCCUGGGGCAUUUAACCCACAAGUUUGCUAGCAGCCAUGUUUUCAAGCUGCAACAACUACUUCUUGGAUGCCUAUGAAGCCAUUAUACAGAUGAGGAAACAGGCUCAGAGAGGCUAAGCAUGUUGUUCAAGGUCACACAGCAUGGAAGAGGCAAGCCGACUGACUCCAGAGCCUUAGCUUUGUGCCAGUCAGAAUGGAAAAGAACUCCAAAAGACACCAACCUGGUUUAUUCAAGUGCUGGCAUGUAAGGAUAAGGAAAAGCAGCCAUCAGUUUGAAUGACAGGCGAUGGGUCCGGAGUAAUUAGCCAAAUGUAUGAAGAUUUCACCAUUUCUAAACCAUCCUGUUAUAUGACCACACAUACCAUCUUCAUGGAAGUGCAGUAGCAUCACCAUGACAACUACUUUUGUGUUUUUACCUCUAAUGUAAUCGAUUG
This 600-nucleotide long non-coding RNA is filed under the name Homo sapiens (human). Its description in RNAcentral is "HSALNT0290767". The record is from RNAcentral. Lineage: Eukaryota; Metazoa; Chordata; Mammalia; Primates; Hominidae.